Molecule: ribosomal RNA, 479 nt
Filed under: uncultured bacterium
Lineage: Bacteria
Description: partial 16S ribosomal RNA
Rfam family: Bacterial small subunit ribosomal RNA
Source: RNAcentral
GAUGAACGCUGGCGGCGUGCUUAACACAUGCAAGUCGAACGAAGCACCUUGAUUUGAUUCUUCGGAUGAAGAUCUUGGUGACUGAGUGGCGGACGGGUGAGUAACGCGUGGGUAACCUGCCUCAUACAGGGGGAUAACAGUUAGAAAUGACUGCUAAUACCGCAUAAGACCACAGCACCGCAUGGUGCAGGGGUAAAAACUCCGGUGGUAUGAGAUGGACCCGCGUCUGAUUAGGUAGUUGGUGGGGUAACGGCCUACCAAGCCGACGAUCAGUAGCCGAGCGGGGAGGGGGACCGACUACAUUGGAGCUGAGGCACAGCCCCAACUCCGAGGCGGGGCAGCAGUGGAGAAUAUUACACGAGGGGGGAAACCCUAGUGCAGCGACGCCGCGUGAGCGAGGAAGUAGUUCGGUAUGUGAAGCUCUAUCAGCAGAGGAGAAAAUGACGGUACCUGACUAAGAAGCACCGGCUAAAUACGUG